RNAcentral lists this ribosomal RNA (84 nucleotides) under Acanthosepion pharaonis. Lineage: Eukaryota; Metazoa; Mollusca; Cephalopoda; Sepiida; Sepiidae. The record is from RNAcentral.
CCCGAACGAUCACCGAAGUUAAGCAUUGUCGAGCCUGGUCAGUACCUAGAUAGGUGACCGCAUGGGAAUACCAGGUGCUGUAAG